GAAAAAUGGAUACGACUGGAGAAAAAAUCCCCGCGGAAUUUCAACACCCCUUUUGUCUUAUCCUCCUAAUUGGGGGCUUCUGCGUUCAAUGGUGGAGGUCCCAUGCGUGGGGGGGGCCCCGUUUUCAAGUUGUGGGGCCCCAAAGUUUGGACUGGGAAUCACGUUUUUUGCGAUUUUCUGCAAACCUUUUAGAGAUAAUAGGAUAUUUUGGACGAUUAUAGACUUAUGUUGUCAUUCCGAAUCGAAUGCGGUCAAUUUAAGUAAGCUGCGACUUGCCUUUGCGAUGUAACGUAGUUUUUCCCGCAUACGGC
Molecule: long non-coding RNA, 311 nt
Filed under: Androctonus crassicauda
Lineage: Eukaryota; Metazoa; Arthropoda; Arachnida; Scorpiones; Buthidae
Source: RNAcentral